AGAGUUUGAUCCUGGCUCAGAACGAACGCUGGCGGCAGGCUUAACACAUGCAAGUCGAACGCAUCUCUUCGGAGGUGAGUGGCAGACGGGUGAGUAACGCGUGGGAACGUACCCUUCAGUUCGGAAUAACCCAGGGAAACUUGGGCUAAUACCGGAUACGUCCGUAAGGAGAAAGAUUUAUCGCUGAAGGAUCGGCCCGCGUCGGAUUAGCUAGUUGGUGUGGUAACGGCGCACCAAGGCAACGAUCCGUAGCUGGUCUGAGAGGAUGAUCAGCCACACUGGGACUGAGACACGGCCCAGACUCCUACGGGAGGCAGCAGUGGGGAAUAUUGGUCAAUGGGCGCAAGCCUGAACCAGCCAUGCCGCGUGAGUGAAGAAGGCCUUAGGGUUGUAAAGCUCUUUCAGCGGGGACGAUAAUGACGGUACCCGCAGAAGAAGCCCCGGCUAACUUCGUGCCAGCAGCCGCGGUAAUACGAAGGGGGCUAGCGUUGUUCGGAAUUACUGGGCGUAAAGCGCGCGUAGGCGGGCAUUUAAGUCAGGGGUGAAAUCCCAGGGCUCAACCCUGGAACUGCCUUUGAUACUGGAUGCCUGGAGUUCGGGAGAGGUGAGUGGAAUUCCGAGUGUAGAGGUGAAAUUCGUAGAUAUUCGGAGGAACACCAGAAGCGAAGGCGGCUCACUGGCCCGAUACUGAGCUGANNNGCGAAAGCGUGGGGAGCAAACAGGAUUAGAUACCCUAGUAGUCC
RNAcentral lists this ribosomal RNA (743 nucleotides) under uncultured bacterium. RNAcentral describes it as "bacterial SSU rRNA". It matches the Rfam family "Bacterial small subunit ribosomal RNA", at positions 8 to 796 of the family's 1533-position model. The record is from RNAcentral.